This is a long non-coding RNA of Stegostoma tigrinum, 1465 nucleotides long. RefSeq lists it as uncharacterized. Lineage: Eukaryota; Metazoa; Chordata; Chondrichthyes; Orectolobiformes; Stegostomatidae. The record is from RefSeq and is a predicted model, not a curated record. The transcript is spliced from 5 exons.
CUGCCUGCUAUAAACUGGCAGGAUUGUGUGAUACUGAACAACACAGGAGACAGAAUCCCCAAACCGUAAAAUAGCUUGUCUUCAAGAGCUUAAAGUGUCUUUGCCUCCCUACUCGAAGGAAUGCUAACUUCACAAAAAAGCAACAAUGCAGCUAUCUCCAUUGCCCGCACAAAGCCCGAUCGAAACUGUCGCUACACUUACAGAAAUAUCGAUAUUCUCGCGCCAUCCUAUCACUGGUAAUGUGGGCAUUUAAUUCCGACACAAAGUGGUUUGUAUUGAGACUGCAAUUGGGCAAUAGUCGUUUCCAAGACAUGGUUUUGAUUUCGUUAUCAGUUUUGAAAAAUCCUCACGUCCAGUCCUGCGAGAGAGUUACAAAUCUUUCUGUAUCGCGGUAUAAGUAGUUUUUUUUCUCUUUUAUUAAUGCUUUGUCCUGUCUUGCACUCGAACCGUUUGCAAAGGGUUAGUUACACCAUCUGGGCGUCAGCGGCCUGACAUCUUCACCGCCUUACCAGGAAUCCUUCUUUGAACCUUAAAACAGUCACUCAGGGUCAAGGAUGACACCCUUCCACUCUGCAUUAUAGUCCUGAGGUUACUAAAUGUUCCAGUACUCGAUCUGCAAGCCCUGCCACAGGUGGGAAGGUGGUGUUUGAAGUGGAUAGAGCCAGGCCAACUCAGGAUCACCUGUUUGAUUACAAAGAGCCAAUCUCAGCUAUGUCAACUGUUGCAAGUCACACGGACUGCAGCAGUUCAAGAAGGCAGCUCACCACCACCUUCUCAAGGAUAACUAGGGACGGACAAUAAAUACAGGCCCAGACAGCAACAUCUGCAUCCCUUGAGUGAACAAACUAGGAGCAUCCAGGAUAAAGCAACCGACUUGAUUGACACGUCAUUCACAAGAGAAAUUUCUUCGCUCAGCUUGAUAGAUUUUGGACUCUGGGAAAAUCGAGACCAUGAGGAUUGACUGAGAAAUUGAAGAGACCACAAUCUCCAUGAAAUUUCACCUCUUAGCUGGAUCAACUACUAACGAACAGAAUGACCUUGGUACUUGCUACAUUGCAGAUAACAAGCACAGAAAGUCGUCACUGGACGUGCACAUGUAUGACCUUGUGAUGCUUACUGCUUACAAGUUGGCUGCUGGGCAAAGUCCUGAUAUCACUAUUAAAUUGCAAACAAAAUGCACAUUGGAACUUCAUGUCUUUUAUUGGAAGUGCCACUUAAAAUGACUAAAUGAUGAAAGAGAGCUUCAUUUUAUUGUUUAGAAUAAAGGUUUGUCAUGUCACGCUUCUUAGAAGAUAUCAGUCGGGCUUUGUGACCAAGUGACUUAUUAAUUGUAAAUACGACAAAAUGUUUUAAUCAUUUUAAGUCUCCCUAUUCAUAGUGCAACAUGUUUGAUCAUAUACUUAAAACCACAAUCAUCAGUGUAAUUACGGAUGAGCAAUAACAGUUGGCUUAGCUAGUGAUGUCU